CCUACGGGUGGCUGCAGUGGGGAAUAUUGGACAAUGGGCGAAAGCCUGAUCCAGCCAUGCCGCGUGUGUGAAGAAGGCCUUCGGGUUGUAAAGCACUUUCAGUGGGGAAGAAAGCCUUGGGGCUAAUACCCUCGAGGAAGGACAUCACCCACAGAAGAAGCACCGGCUAACUCCGUGCCAGCAGCCGCGGUAAUACGGAGGGUGCGAGCGUUAAUCGGAAUUACUGGGCGUAAAGCGCGCAUAGGCGGUCUGAUAAGCCGGUUGUGAAAGCCCCGGGCUCAACCUGGGAACGGCAUCCGGAACUGUCAGGCUAGAGUGCAGGAGAGGAAGGUAGAAUUCCCGGUGUAGCGGUGAAAUGCGUAGAGAUCGGGAGGAAUACCAGUGGCGAAGGCGGCCUUCUGGACUGACACUGACGCUGAGGUGCGAAAGCGUGGGUAGCAAACAGGAUUAGAUACCCCUGUAGUC
Molecule: ribosomal RNA, 465 nt
Filed under: Vreelandella stevensii
Lineage: Bacteria; Pseudomonadati; Pseudomonadota; Gammaproteobacteria; Oceanospirillales; Halomonadaceae
Description: partial 16S ribosomal RNA
Rfam family: Bacterial small subunit ribosomal RNA
Source: RNAcentral